RNAcentral lists this ribosomal RNA (301 nucleotides) under uncultured bacterium. RNAcentral describes it as "partial 16S ribosomal RNA". It matches the Rfam family "Bacterial small subunit ribosomal RNA", at positions 509 to 809 of the family's 1533-position model. The record is from RNAcentral.
CAGUCGCCACGGUAAUACAGAGGGUGCGAGCGUUAAUCGGAUUUACUGGGCGUAAAGCGUGCGUAGGCGGCUAAUUGAGUCGGAUGUGAAAUCCCCGAGCUUAACUUGGGAAUUGCAUUCGAUACUGGUUAGCUAGAGUGUGGGAGAGGAUGGUAGAAUUCCAGGUGUAGCGGUGAAAUGCGUAGAGAUCUGGAGGAAUACCGAUGGCGAAGGCAGCCAUCUGGCCUAACACUGACGCUGAGGUACGAAAGCAUGGGGAGCAAACAGGAUUAGAUACCCGAGUAGUCCCUGUCUCUUAUAU